AGGGAGAGAAUAUAGAAGACAUCCCAAAGGAAGUGCUGAUGGACUGUGCCCACCUUGUGAAGGCCAAUAGCAUUCAAGGUAAAAAUUGUGACAGUGGAGAAGAAAGUAAAUGAGAUCCUGAACCGAUUAGAAAAGACCAAAGUCGAGCGGUUCCCAGACCUAGCAGCAGAGAAAGAAUGCAGAGAUCGUGAAGAGAGGAAUGAGAAAAAAGCCCAAAUUCAGGAAAUGAAAAGGAGAGAAAAAGAAGAAAUGAAGAAGAAGAGGGAAAUGGAUGAACUUAGGUAUGUCAGAGCUGUGGCAUUGAGACUGACCUCAAAGAUUAUUCCCUGAUGAUUUUAAUCAUGUGUUAGCCAUUAAGAAGGAUAUAUUGGUGGAAGGAGGGACAUGUAACAAGCUCAGUUUAAGCUCAACUUUAAAUCAGUUUUUUAGAAAAAGGCAUUUAUAUUAAUGUUUUGGUUAAAAGAAUUGCUUGUUUAUGGCA
This 481-nucleotide small RNA is filed under the name Pongo abelii (Sumatran orangutan). RNAcentral describes it as "retained intron". Lineage: Eukaryota; Metazoa; Chordata; Mammalia; Primates; Hominidae. The record is from RNAcentral.